CUCGAGUAGGCCCCAGCAAGCCAGGAAGGAGGCUGGCAGAGCUCCCUGCAGCAGACCCUCAGACCAUCCAGCACAGCUUUUGCAGGAUUGCCAGAUGUCCCUAAAGGAAGAAGACAAACAUAAACUAUGAGGAAGACUCACACAGAAUCUUCACAGAGGCCUCCAAACCCACCCUCACUACUGAACUGACUGCUGAGCAUCCCAGGUUCUUGCCAUUAGCUGAAAAUAAGGGACAAAUGGUAUCCUGUAAGGGGCAGACAAUUUGGCGCUGAAAUAAAGGACAUUCUUGCUAAUAAAAGAUUGUUGAGUUCUGUAAGGUGAGAUGGGGAUCUCCCAAAGAAUUCACAGCAGUUUCACCAUGUUACAAUUCCCAGGAUGCUUUGAGGAAAGCCACAACAGUCGCACUGUACAAAAUCAAAAGCAGUUUCUUCAUCCCAAAGCAUCCGCACACUGCCAGUGGGAAGAGAGGCUUGACGAGCUCAGGUUGGUGGAGAACAGGGAUGGAGCCAGCUGCAAAAGCAGUGGGAAUGUUUUGGCCACUCCCACAUGGCACAGCUCCUCCUGCCCUCACCAAUAACCCUCAGCCCAAAUAACUUUUUCAACACUUGGAGCCAUGAGGGUGAAGUGGGGGCGGGGAAGGACUGCAAAGCUCAACAGACAUAGUUCAUGGUAAGUGUGUGUGGGCUAUGCAGAUCCAAGCCAGAUGAACCUCCAUCAUUCUAAGACGUGCCUGUGUACCACAAGCAAAGACUGAACUGAUAAUCUCCAGAGCAAACAAUAGCAGUCCAACAGACCAGGUUAUAAAUCCACUGACUUCAUCAUAGAUGGCUAGAGACCAUAACCGACUGUCUAAUCUCCCUCAUGGGGAUUACACAAGGAUCCAGGAUCUGGUUUUUCAGAGGCUAUAACUCACUCUCCACAUCAGGUUUUAAAUCUGAAGGGAAAUCUUGAUCUCGUCCAGCUGACCGGCUCAUCUGAAAGCACCCAACCUCUUAACAAAGGACAUUCCUCAUUCCAAACAGAAGUCUCUUCUCCCCCCACCCCCCAGAAUAUGCCAACUAUUUCCAGUCAUCACAUCCACCUUCCCUACGGAAAUCCCUGGUGUUGUGUUUGGCCGUAUAUAUUUAAGGAGGCUCAUGCCCUUUAAGCCCUGGCAUGGACUGGCACCCUCACACUAGAGAAAAACAGCCUGGCAAAGGUUAACAUUUGGCACUAUGGAACAUAAUGAAGUGCUAACUUGUCAUUUUUUUUUAAUGAAGUUGUGGCACUGGAGAUUUAUAGUUGCUAAUGAGGCAGAAUAAUAAUUAGUCAUUUUUUAAUGAGGCUGAUGAUCACUCAGACAGAGACAGACAGGAAAAUGGGUCUUAGCUUUGGACUAAUUUUCUUCUGGUAAUUGUGUGACAUGCCUGACUGCCUGGAACCCACCAGCCAGCCCCUUUCCUUCUUCCUCUGCUGGGCCGUCUGUGCCAAGUUGCACUGUCUGCCCUUCUCCUCUGCAUCCAUGGAGGACAGGGUGUGAGCAGAUGAGGCUGUCUGCUUGCCAGAUGAGAGCAUUCACAUUUAGAGGACAUUGUGACACAUUCCUCGCCAGCAGAAUGGCACCUGCCCAAGUGAUCCUUGGCUAUUGGCCACAGAUAAUGGGAAGGUGUGAGUGAGUGACAGCUCUCUAAUAGUUGGCUAAAACGAGCUGCUAUCAUAUGGCAGAUGGCGUCAAGGCAAGAGUUCAGCCUUAUAAUUACUCACCCCAGUGACCUCAGAAGUAUGUGUGUGUGUGUGUGCAUGUGUGUGCGUGGGUGGGGGAACAGAUCCCAUCUCUGGGCCUUCUUUCUGCCAUUUCAGCCUGAAAUCAAGUUGAGUGCCGUUAACCACUUAAGGCAAGGGUUCCCAAACUGGGUUCCCCAGAUGAGGUUGGACUACAACUCCCAUCAUCCCAAAAGCUGCUGUGGCUGUGGAUGAUGGGAGUUGUAGUCCAACAUCACCUGGGGACACAAGAUUGGGAACCCCUGAUUAAAGGGAAAGAUUAGGCAAGAGAUGCCAGGCACUUCUAAGUUGAGCUCUCUUCCAUAGACUCUCCCAGUUCUCUCUUGAUGUCACCCUUUUAGGGCUAUAUAGGAACAACCAGUGCAAGUCCACAACCAUCGUCCAGUUGCUUUCUGUAUGCCCUCUGAAGCUGGUGUUAGAAAACAACUUCCCUGCCCACUUGCCAUUCACAAGUGCAUUCAUGGUAGCUCUCCAUUUUUUGAACUCCAAACACUGCUGCAGAUGUGUUCUCUGACUGCCUUGACUAACAGAUGUUGAUAUUCCCUUUAGGAAUGCCCUAAAGUCCAUUUCAUUUCUGACUGUGAGCUCUCCAGACUAAUUGGUGGGGGAUAUGUUGUUUGUUUAAAACUUGCUGUAUUAAUUUCUUCAGGAGUCAUCCUAAUUUUCAUAUUUCAUCUUUAACAGGGCAAAAUAAGUAAUUUCAUUUUCCUCUCUCGCAUCUUCCACCUCUCACCUUUCCAUUAGCUUUUUGUUUCUGUGUGGAAGUUAAAACGUAUCCUUCUCUUUGCCUUUCUCUGUGAGGAUGAUCUCUCUAUGAUCAUUGCUGUUAUCCUGCUUCUUGCAUUUUGUUUGGUUUCAUUCCUUUUUGCCACAGGGUGUAUAUACACAGUGCUCAAGAUGUGGGCCCACCAUUCAUUUGUACCGAAAUACUAUGAAAGGCUUCUGUAUUAUUCUCUUGGCCUUUCCUAACACUUUGUUUGCCUUUUUGAUAGCUGCAGCCUGAUGGUUUUCAGCGAACCUUCCACAAUGAUUCUGAGAUCUCUUUCACAUUCCUUUCAUCCUUUACAAACUGAUUACCUUUCUGCUUCUGAAACUGCUACAAGAAAAACUCUGCUGGCUGUUCCACAGACGCUCAAAAUGGGAAAGUUCUCCUCAGGUCAUUCGGUUCACACCCUGCCUUCAGACGGUGGAGCGUUAUUCCCCACCAUGUAUUUAUUAUGUUUGGACUAUCCUAGCUUGAGCUCUGAGACUUCUAGCCCUGCUUCUUGUGAAAUUACUCAUCAGUGUGGUAGACUUUGCGGAGGGAACAUUUCUACUGCUUUUUUUUUUUAAUGCAAAUUUUUCCAUCUUCCCUCACUUUAGUCCUCUUUUGCUGGAUGCCCCUCAGGGUGAGUCAUGGAAAAGUGUUAUUUGCUUCCUUUUCAUUGUUCCAAAUUUGCAAAGAAUAACUCAUACUUGGAAGGUGUUAGUAUGAAAUGGAAAUAUUUGUGCAAUAUGAAGUAAAGAUUUCUCUGAAAUGAUACUAUAGGUUUCACCAUGCAUUAAAUUAAGGAAGGGAAUUCACACAGACCCUACAUAUCCAGUUUAUGGUGGAAAGAUCAGUUAACGCAUAUGCUUCCAGUAAUACAGUACGCAAUUAACUGACUGUAAAGUUGAGAACGUCAAGCCACAAUAAAACAGUUCUUCUUU
Molecule: long non-coding RNA, 3450 nt
Organism: Hemicordylus capensis (graceful crag lizard)
Lineage: Eukaryota; Metazoa; Chordata; Lepidosauria; Squamata; Cordylidae
Exons: 6
Source: RefSeq, a predicted model, not a curated record